Molecule: ribosomal RNA, 468 nt
Filed under: uncultured bacterium
Lineage: Bacteria
Description: partial 16S ribosomal RNA
Rfam family: Bacterial small subunit ribosomal RNA
Source: RNAcentral
GACGAACGCUGGCGGCGUGCUUAACACAUGCAAGUCGAACGGAAAGGCCCUGCUUUUGUGGGGUGCUCGAGUGGCGAACGGGUGAGUAACACGUGAGUAACCUGCCCUUGACUUUGGGAUAACUUCAGGAAACUGGGGCUAAUACCGGAUAGGAGCUCCUGCUGCAUGGUGGGGGUUGGAAAGUUUCGGCGGGUGGGGAUGGACUCGCGGCUUAUCAGCUUGUUGGUGGGGUAGUGGCUUACCAAGGCUUUGACGGGUAGCCGGCCUGAGAGGGUGACCGGCGACAUUGGGACUGAGAUACGGCCCAGACUCCUACGGGAGGCAGCAGUGGGGAAUAUUGCACAAUGGGCGGAAGCCUGAUGCAGCAACGCCGCGUGCGGGAUGACGGCCUUCGGGUUGUAAACCGCUUUCGCCUGUGACGAAGCGUGAGUGACGGUAAUGGGUAAAGAAGCACCGGCUAACUACGUG